Molecule: ribosomal RNA, 316 nt
Filed under: Crustacea environmental sample
Lineage: Eukaryota; Metazoa; Arthropoda
Description: SSU rRNA
Rfam family: Eukaryotic small subunit ribosomal RNA
Source: RNAcentral
AAACUUAAAGGAAUUGACGGAAAGGCACCACCAGGCGUGGAGCUUGCGGCUCAAUUUGACUCAACACGGGAAAUCUCACCAGACCCGAACAUCUCUAACGAUUGACAGAUUGAUAGCUCUUUCUUGAUUCGGUGGGUGGUGGUGCAUGGCCGUUCUUAGUUGGUGGAGUGAUUUGUCUGGUUAAUUCCGAUAACGAACGAGACUCUGUCCUGCUAAAUAGUGUCCGCUUCUCUUUUGAGCGGACAAUUCUUCUUAGAGGGACUGGCGACUCUUAGUCGCACGAGAUUGAGCAAUAACAGGUCUGUGAUGCCCUUAG